Regulatory RNA element from Corynebacterium aquilae DSM 44791, 137 nucleotides. It matches the Rfam family "atpB RNA". The record is from Rfam. Lineage: Bacteria; Bacillati; Actinomycetota; Actinomycetes; Mycobacteriales; Corynebacteriaceae.
CAGUGAUCGCCGCGCUGAUGUGCGACGGAAUCCGUGGCGAUCCAGACUCACUUUCAGACGUCCAUCGCACCGCUUUCACCGCCACGCUUUCGGUGGAAUGCGGCCCGAACACGGGAGAGAACCCUGAGCGUUUCAGU